Molecule: ribosomal RNA, 440 nt
Filed under: uncultured bacterium
Lineage: Bacteria
Description: partial 16S ribosomal RNA
Rfam family: Bacterial small subunit ribosomal RNA
Source: RNAcentral
CCUACGGGGUGCUGCAGUGGGGGAUAUUGCACAAUGGGGGAAACCCUGAUGCAGCGACGCCGCGUGUGGGAAGACGUUCCUCUGGAUUGUAAACCACUGUCCCCAGGGACGAAGAUGACGGUACCUGGGGAGGAAGCUCCGUCUAACUACGUGCCAGAAGCCGCGGUAAUACGUAGGGAGUGAGCGUUGUCCGGAAUUACUGGGUGAAAAGGGAGCGUAGGCGGGGAUGCAAGUUGUAUGUCAAGACUACCGGCUCAACUGGUAGUCGCACUCAAAACUGCAGGUCUUGAGUGAAGUAGAGGCAGGCGGAAUUCCUAGUGUAGCGGUGAAAUGCGUAGAUAUUAGGAGGAACACCAGUGGCGAAGGCGGCCUGCUGGGCUUUUACUGACGCUGAGGCUCGAAAGUGUGAGGAGCAAACAGGAUUAGAUACCCCUGUAGUC